GAUGAACGCUAGCUACAGGCUUAACACAUGCAAGUCGAGGGGUAACGAGAGGAAAGCUUGCUUUCCUUGUCGACGACCGGCGCACGGGUGAGUAACGCGUAUCCAACCUGCCCCCAACUAGGGAAUAACCUUGCGAAAGUAAGACUAACACCUUAUAAUUUCCUCAGAUGUCAUCUGACGAGGAAUAAAGAUUUAUCGGUUGUGGAUGGGGAUGCGUCUGAUUAGCUUGUUGGCGGGGUAACGGCCCACCAAGGCAACGAUCAGUAAGGGUUCUGAGAGGAAGGGCCCCCACAUUGGAACUGAGACACGGUCCAAACUCCUACGGGAGGCAGCAGUGAGGAAUAUUGGUCAAUGGGCGGAAGCCUGAACCAGCCAAGUAGCGUGCAGGAUGACGGCCCUAUGGGUUGUAAACUGCUUCUAUACAGGAAUAAAGUUAGCCACGUGUGGUUAUUUGUAGGUACUGUAUGAAUAAGGACCGGCUAAUUCCGUGCCAGCCGCCGCCAGUAA
Molecule: ribosomal RNA, 507 nt
Filed under: uncultured bacterium
Lineage: Bacteria
Description: partial 16S ribosomal RNA
Rfam family: Bacterial small subunit ribosomal RNA
Source: RNAcentral